UACGGAGGGUGCAAGCGUUAUCCGGAUUCACUGGGUUUAAAGGGUGCGUAGGUGGGCAGGUAAGUCAGUGGUGAAAUCUUUGGGCUUAACCCGAAAACUGCCAUUGAUACUAUUUGUCUUGAAUAUUGUGGAGGUCAGCGGAAUAUGUCAUGUAGCGGUGAAAUGCUUAAAUAUGACAUAGAACACCAAUUGCGAAGGCAGCUGGCUACACAUAUAUUGACACUGAUGCACGAAAGCGUGGGGAUCAAACAGG
RNAcentral lists this ribosomal RNA (253 nucleotides) under uncultured bacterium. RNAcentral's name for it is "partial 16S ribosomal RNA". It matches the Rfam family "Bacterial small subunit ribosomal RNA", at positions 524 to 776 of the family's 1533-position model. The record is from RNAcentral.